AACGAACGCUGGCGGCAGGCUUAACACAUGCAAGUCGAACGAUCUGGGGGCGUCGGUCCCCGUUGCUAGUGGCGCACGGGUGAGUAACACGUGGGAAGAUGCCCUUUAGUAUGGAAGAACCAAGGGAAACGUAGGCUAAUACCGUAUAGGCCCACCGGGGGUAAGAUUUAUCGCUUAAGGGUUAGCCCGCGUCUGUUCAGGUAGUUGGUGAGGUAAUGGCUCAUCAAGCCGACGAGCAGUAGCUGGUCUGCGAGGAUGAUCACCACCACUGGGACGGAGACCCGGCCCGGACUUCUGCGGGAGGCAGCAGUGGGGAAUAUUGGACGACGGGUGCGACACUGAUGCAGCCAUGCCGCGUGAGUGAAGAAGGCCUUCGGGUUGUAAGGCUCUUUCGACAGUGACGAUGGUGACGGUACCCGUACAAGAAGCCCCGGCAAACUUCGUG
This 445-nucleotide ribosomal RNA is filed under the name uncultured bacterium. RNAcentral describes it as "partial 16S ribosomal RNA". It matches the Rfam family "Bacterial small subunit ribosomal RNA", at positions 29 to 507 of the family's 1533-position model. The record is from RNAcentral.